UUUCCGGUUGAUCCUGCCGGAGUUACUGCUAUCGGGGUCCGAUUAAGCCAUGCGAGUUGAGAGGGGUAAGCCCUCGGCAUACUGCUCAGUAACACGCGGACAACCUGCCCUUGGGUCUGGGAUAACCCCGGGAAACUGGGACUAAUACCGGAUAGAUCAGAGAUACUGGAAUGUUCUCUGGUCCAAAACUCCGGUGCCCAAGGAUGGGUCUGCGGCCUAUCAGGUAGUAGUGGGUGUAACGUACCUACUAGCCAGCGACGGGUAAGGGUUGUGAGAGCAAGAUCCCUGAGAUGGAUUCUGAGACAUGAAUCCAGGCCCUACGGGGUGCAGCAGGCGCGAAAACUUUACACUGCGGGAAACCGCGAUAAGGGGACCCCGAGUGCCAGCACCUAGUGCUGGCUGUCCUACUGUCUAAAUAACAGUGGUUAGCAAAGGGCCGGGCAAGACCGGUUCCAGCCCGCCGCGGUAACACCGGCGGGCCCGAGUGGUAACGUCAUUAUUGGGUUUAAAGGGUCCGUAGCCGGCUUAUUAAGUCUUUUGGGAAAUCUGGCGACUCAAUCGUCAGGCGUCCAAGAGAUACUGGUAGGCUUGGGACCGGGAGAGGUGGGAGGUACUCCAGGGGUAGGGGUGAAAUCUCGUAAUCCUUGGGGGGCCACCGAUGGCGAAGGCAUUCCCGCCAGAACGGGUCCGACGGUGAGGGACGAAAGCUGGGGGCACGAACCGGAUUAGAUACCCGGGUAGUCCCAGCUGUAAACGAUGCAGGCUAGGUGUUUUGGCGGCCACGGGCCGCUCUAGUGCCGCAGGGAAGCUGUUAAGCCUGCCGCCUGGGGAGUACGGUUCAAGGCUGAAACUUAAAGGAAUUGG
RNAcentral lists this ribosomal RNA (864 nucleotides) under uncultured archaeon. Its description in RNAcentral is "bacterial SSU rRNA". It matches the Rfam family "Archaeal small subunit ribosomal RNA", at positions 1 to 868 of the family's 1478-position model. The record is from RNAcentral.